CAAUGCCACAGAGCUGCCCGCUGAACAGGCUUUGUUUUUCAGUCAUUGGAGUGGAAGAUAGCAGAGACUUGAUCAAGAAAUACAGACAAGAAUCUAAGCGUCUCAAUGGCCAUUGA
This 116-nucleotide long non-coding RNA is filed under the name Anas platyrhynchos platyrhynchos (common mallard). RNAcentral's name for it is "lncRNA (ENSAPLG00000031038.1)". Lineage: Eukaryota; Metazoa; Chordata; Aves; Anseriformes; Anatidae. The record is from RNAcentral.